UACGUAGGGGGCAAGCGUUGUCCGGAUUCAUUGGGCGUAAAGAGCGUGUAGGCGGCCAGGUAGGUCGGUUGUGAAAACUGGAGGCUCAACCUUCAGACGUCGACCGAAACCAUCUGGCUAGAGUCCGGGAGAGGAGAGUGGAAUUCCUGGUGUAGCGGUGAAAUGCGCAGAUAUCAGGAAGAACACCCGUGGCGAAAGCGGCUCUCUGGAACGGUACUGACGCUGAGGCGCGAAAGCGUGGGGAGCGAACAGG
Molecule: ribosomal RNA, 253 nt
Filed under: uncultured bacterium
Lineage: Bacteria
Description: partial 16S ribosomal RNA
Rfam family: Bacterial small subunit ribosomal RNA
Source: RNAcentral